This 29-nucleotide non-coding RNA is filed under the name Mus musculus (house mouse). The record is from RNAcentral. Lineage: Eukaryota; Metazoa; Chordata; Mammalia; Rodentia; Muridae.
UCCAAGGGAUCUUAGCUUCAUGGUUGCUA